GGAGGUAUAGCUCAGUGGUAGAGCGUAUGCUUAGCAUGCAUGAGGUCCUGGGUUCAAUCCCCAGGACCUCCA
This 72-nucleotide transfer RNA is filed under the name Camelus bactrianus (Bactrian camel). It matches the Rfam family "tRNA". From Rfam's summary of the family: Transfer RNA (tRNA) molecules are approximately 80 nucleotides in length. Their secondary structure includes four short double-helical elements and three loops (D, anti-codon, and T loops). Further hydrogen bonds mediate the characteristic L-shaped molecular structure. tRNAs have two regions of fundamental functional importance: the anti-codon, which is responsible for specific mRNA codon recognition, and the 3' end, to which the tRNAs corresponding amino acid is attached (by aminoacyl-tRNA synthetases). tRNAs cope with the degeneracy of the genetic code in two manners: having more than one tRNA (with a specific anti-codon) for a particular amino acid; and 'wobble' base-pairing, i.e. permitting non-standard base-pairing at the 3rd anti-codon position. The record is from Rfam by way of RNAcentral. RNAcentral also lists the same sequence under 2 other names. Lineage: Eukaryota; Metazoa; Chordata; Mammalia; Artiodactyla; Camelidae.